Molecule: long non-coding RNA, 195 nt
Organism: Solanum tuberosum (potato)
Lineage: Eukaryota; Viridiplantae; Streptophyta; Magnoliopsida; Solanales; Solanaceae
Exons: 3
Source: RefSeq, a predicted model, not a curated record
GAAUAUUAAAGAACAGAGGCACAUAUGAAUUUAUAUCUGCUGAAGAUGUUGGAUUUAUUCGUGCUAGUGAACACGAUAUUAAAUUGGGAAAACUCAGUGGACGUCAUGCAUUGAAAAUUAAAAUGCUUGAGCUUGGAUAUAACUUUGAGGAAAAACAACUUGGGGACCUCUUUUGGCGAUUCAAGUCAAUGGCUG